Molecule: ribosomal RNA, 248 nt
Filed under: uncultured fungus
Lineage: Eukaryota; Fungi
Description: partial 26S ribosomal RNA
Rfam family: Eukaryotic large subunit ribosomal RNA
Source: RNAcentral
UGCCAUAUCAAUAAGCGGAGGAAAAGAAACCAACCGGGAUUGCCUCAGUAACGGCGAGUGAAGCGGCAAGAGCUCAAAUUUGAAAGCUGGCUCCUUCGGGGUCCGCAUUGUAAUUUGCAGAGGAUGCUUCGGGUGCGGCCCCUGUCUAAGUGCCCUGGAACGGGCCGUCAGAGAGGGUGAGAAUCCCGUCUGGGAUGGGGUKYCCGCGCCCGUGUGAAGCUCCUUCGACGAGUCGAGUGUUUGGGAAU